GGCUCAGGAUGAACGCUAGCUACAGGCUUAACACAUGCAAGUCGAGGGGCAUCAGGAAGAAAGCUUGCUUUCUUUGCUGGCGACCGGCGCACGGGUGAGUAACACGUAUCCAACCUGCCCUUUACUCGGGGAUAGCCUUUCGAAAGUAAGAUUAAUACCCGAUAGCAUAAUGAUUCCGCAUGGUUUCAUUAUUAAAGGAUUCCGGUAAAGGAUGGGGAUGCGUUCCAUUAGGUUGUUGGUGAGGUAACGGCCCACCAAGCCUUCGAUGGAUAGGGGUUCUGAGAGGAAGGUCCCCCACAUUGGAACUGAGACACGGUCCAAACUCCUACGGGAGGCAGCAGUGAGGAAUAUUGGUCAAUGGGCGCUAGCCUGAACCAGCCAAGUAGCGUGAAGGAUGAAGGCUCUAUGGGUCGUAAACUUCUUUUAUAUAAGAAUAAAGUGCAGUAUGUAUACUGUUUUGUAUGUAUUAUAUGAAUAAGGAUCGGCUAACUCCGUGCCAGCAGCCGCGGUAAUACGGAGGAUCCGAGCGUUAUCCGGAUUUAUUGGGUUUAAAGGGAGCGUAGGUGGACUGGUAAGUCAGUUGUGAAAGUUUGCGGCUCAACCGUAAAAUUGCAGUUGAUACUGUCAGUCUUGAGUACAGUAGAGGUGGGCGGAAUUCGUGGUGUAGCGGUGAAAUGCUUAGAUAUCACGAAGAACUCCGAUUGCGAAGGCAGCUCACUGGACUGCAACUGACACUGAUGCUCGAAAGUGUGGGUAUCAAACGGGAUUAGAUACCCUGGUAGUCCACACAGUAAACGAUGAAUACUCGCUGUUUGCGAUAUACAGUAAGCGGCCAAGCGAAAGCAUUAAGUAUUCCACCUGGGGAGUACGCCGGCAACGGUGAAACUCAAAGGAAUUGACGGGGGCCCGCACAAGCGGAGGAACAUGUGGUUUAAUUCGAUGAUACGCGAGGAACCUUACCCGGGCUUAAAUUGCAGUGGAAUGAUGUGGAAACAUGUCAGUGAGCAAUCACCGCUGUGAAGGUGCUGCAUGGUUGUCGUCAGCUCGUGCCGUGAGGUGUCGGCUUAAGUGCCAUAACGAGCGCAACCCUUAUCUUCAGUUACUAACAGGUUAUGCUGAGGACUCUGGAGAGACUGCCGUCGUAAGAUGUGAGGAAGGUGGGGAUGACGUCAAAUCAGCACGGCCCUUACGUCCGGGGCUACACACGUGUUACAAUGGGGGGUACAGAAGGCAGCUACCUGGUGACAGGGUGCUAAUCCCAAAAGCCUCUCUCAGUUCGGAUCGAAGUCUGCAACCCGACUUCGUGAAGCUGGAUUCGCUAGUAAUCGCGCAUCAGCCACGGCGCGGUGAAUACGUUCCCGGGCCUUGUACACACCGCCCGUCAAGCCAUGGGAGCCGGGGGUACCUGAAGUACGUAACCGCAAGGAUCGUCCUAGGGUAA
Molecule: ribosomal RNA, 1441 nt
Filed under: uncultured organism
Description: SSU rRNA
Rfam family: Bacterial small subunit ribosomal RNA
Source: RNAcentral